Molecule: long non-coding RNA, 304 nt
Filed under: Brassica napus (rape)
Lineage: Eukaryota; Viridiplantae; Streptophyta; Magnoliopsida; Brassicales; Brassicaceae
Description: long non-coding RNA (BNAP_LNC014014)
Source: RNAcentral
CGAACUUUACUUGUUGAUGACUUAUCUGAGGAAGUUGACCAAUCUUUCAUGGAUAUGUAUUCUAACAAUCCUUUAGAAAAAACUCUCGCAGCUCCUAAAAGCGACAUUUUUGGUAUAAACUGCAGAGUAUGCCAAAUUAAUGGAUGCUACUGAAGAGAUCAUGAGAGUCGACGUAAACGAAAAAAUCAAAAUUCCAUCCAAUGUCGACAGAUGUUUCAGACACAGCGCCACCAUUCUCAUGCAUCGGACAUAUGGGGUUCGAAAAAAGUACCAAACGUUGAAUUAAAACAACUUCCAGCUGGAC